GGGACACGUGGUAUCCUGUCUGAAUAUGGGGGGACCAUCCUCCAAGGCUAAAUACUCCUGACUGACCGAUAGUGAACCAGUACCGUGAGGGAAAGGCGAAAAGAACCCCGGCGAGGGGAGUGAAAAAGAACCUGAAACCGUGUACGUACAAGCAGUGGGAGCCUCUUAAUGGGGUGACUGCGUACCUUUUGUAUAAUGGGUCAGCGACUUAUAUUCUGUAGCAAGGUUAACCGAAUAGGGGAGCCGAAGGGAAACCGAGUCUUAACUGGGCGUUAAGUUGCAGGGUAUAGACCCGAAACCCGGUGAUCUAGCCAUGGGCAGGUUGAAGGUUGGGUAACACUAACUGGAGGACCGAACCGACUAAUGUUGAAAAAUUAGCGGAUGACUUGUGGCUGGGGGUGAAAGGCCAAUCAAACCGGGAGAUAGCUGGUUCUCCCCGAAAGCUAUUUAGGUAGCGCCUCGUGAAUUCAUCUCCGGGGGUAGAGCACUGUUUCGGCAAGGGGGUCAUCCCGACUUACCAACCCGAUGCAAACUGCGAAUACCGGAGAAUGUUAUCACGGGAGACACACGGCGGGUGCUAACGUCCGUCGUGAAGAGGGAAACAACCCAGACCGCCAGCUAAGGUCCCAAAGUCAUGGUUAAGUGGGAAACGAUGUGGGAAGGCCCAGACAGCCAGGAUGUUGGCUUAGAAGCAGCCAUCAUUUAAAGAAAGCGUAAUAGCUCACUGGUCGAGUCGGCCUGCGCGGAAGAUGUAACGGGGCUAAACCAUGCACCGAAGCUGCGGCAGCGACACUAUGUGUUGUUGGGUAGGGGAGCGUUCUGUAAGCCUGUGAAGGUGUACUGUGAGGUAUGCUGGAGGUAUCAGAAGUGCGAAUGCUGACAUAAGUAACGAUAAAGCGGGUG
Molecule: ribosomal RNA, 903 nt
Filed under: Escherichia coli
Lineage: Bacteria; Pseudomonadati; Pseudomonadota; Gammaproteobacteria; Enterobacterales; Enterobacteriaceae
Description: partial 23S ribosomal RNA
Rfam family: Bacterial large subunit ribosomal RNA
Source: RNAcentral